GGGGUCUUGGCACAGUGGUAGCGCGCACGCUUCGCAUCCUCUGCGCUUGCGUGAGGUCGAGAGUUCAAUCCUCUCAGUCUCCA
Molecule: non-coding RNA, 83 nt
Organism: Sphagnurus paluster
Lineage: Eukaryota; Fungi; Basidiomycota; Agaricomycetes; Agaricales; Lyophyllaceae
Source: the annotation of a GenBank genome assembly